This 25-nucleotide non-coding RNA is filed under the name Mus musculus (house mouse). The record is from RNAcentral. Lineage: Eukaryota; Metazoa; Chordata; Mammalia; Rodentia; Muridae.
UGAAAGCAGUGGCCUCUUUUCUUCU